RNAcentral lists this long non-coding RNA (342 nucleotides) under Anser brachyrhynchus (Pink-footed goose). Its description in RNAcentral is "lncRNA (ENSABRG00000017697.1)". The record is from RNAcentral. Lineage: Eukaryota; Metazoa; Chordata; Aves; Anseriformes; Anatidae.
UAAAGUAUUCCCCAGUGAAGCUUUUGACUUCUCCAGUACUCCAGAUACGCCCUGAGAAAUGCCAAAUCAAAAAAUGAGAAGGAAGCCAGUUGAUUUAUAGAAUACCUAACAGUAUUUCUAAGCCAUUGUGACAUUGCAAUAGAGAUCUAAGAUCAAGCAUCUGAGAGAGUGAAAGGAAUUGCAAGGUGACUCCUCAACUGAAGGUCAACUGAACUCAGUUCUGACACAUAUGUUAAGGGCAAACCAAUGGUGUCCAUCUGGAGCAGAGUGGUGACAUAAUAUGCCCUAUUUGCUGGCCUGAUCAGGUCUCUCUGAAAAGAAGUCCCUGGAUAACUCACACAA